RNAcentral lists this ribosomal RNA (422 nucleotides) under uncultured bacterium. RNAcentral's name for it is "partial 16S ribosomal RNA". It matches the Rfam family "Bacterial small subunit ribosomal RNA", at positions 360 to 774 of the family's 1533-position model. The record is from RNAcentral.
AAUAUUGGACAAUGGGGGCAACCCUGAUCUAGCCAUGCCGCGUGUGUGAAGAAGGUCUUCGGAUUGUAAAGCACUUCAAGUUGGGAGGAAGGGCUUUAGGCUAAUACCCUGAAGUUUUGACGUUACCAACCUAAGAAGCACAGGCUAACUCAGUGCUCGUAGCCGCGCUAAUACAGAGCGUCCAAGAGUUAAUCGGAAUUACUGGGCGUAAAGCGCGCGUAGGUGGUUCAGUAAGAUGGGUGUGAAAUACCCGGGCUUAACCUGGGAACUGCUUUCAUAACUGCUGAGCUAGAGUACGGUAGAGGGUAGUGGAAUUUCCUGUGUAGCGGUGAAAUGCGUAGAUAUAGGAAGGAACACCAGUGGCGAAGGCGACUACCUGGACUGAUACUGACACUGAGGUGCGAAAGCGUGGGGAGAAAACA